Molecule: non-coding RNA, 23 nt
Filed under: Arabidopsis thaliana (thale cress)
Lineage: Eukaryota; Viridiplantae; Streptophyta; Magnoliopsida; Brassicales; Brassicaceae
Source: RNAcentral
UUUAAUACAGAGGGAAGAUUUGA